Molecule: long non-coding RNA, 2700 nt
Filed under: Daucus carota (carrot)
Lineage: Eukaryota; Viridiplantae; Streptophyta; Magnoliopsida; Apiales; Apiaceae
Description: long non-coding RNA (DCAR_LNC004134)
Source: RNAcentral
UAUUAAAUUUCAGUGGGUAACCCGCAAACAUUUCUACUCACGUACUGUUAAGUGUCAAGGACAACAGAGCAUCCUCUGCAUGCAAAAAUGAUGUCCAUUGCCCGGGGAUGUCCCAAAAAUUUGUUUGAUUGCUGCUAUAUUUUUGGUGGGGACGACUAGAAUGGAAACAAGGUGCCAUAAAAACAACGGAAAAUGUUAAAUCUAGAGCAGCAAUUUUAGUUCCAGAGCAAUAUUCAAUUCUAAGCCCCCCUUGCAUUACACAAUUCUUGCAUUUUCAAUACAAAUGAUGCCAAGCAUCGUCUAGCUUUAUUCACUGAGCACAAGACGCUGACACUGGCACAAUGAAAAUGUCACUAUCCAUGCUAAUAAACUGAAAUCAGUAAAAAGACUAAGAUUAUACAUAUAUAUAUAUAUUCUUCAUGUUCCAAGGCUCAGGGACUCCUUGAACACAUAGCAGCCGCAAUGCAGGGUGUAAAAUCCAAUGAUCCUACAAACUCGUAUUAACUGAGCAAUAUGUAUCUACGAGUGAAACAAUAGGUUGCGUUGAGUAAGCAUAAAUUGUUCACCAGAUCUAUCAAUCUAUCAAACCACCUCUACCCCCUAUAUGUGAUUAAAGCCCAAAAAUUUAACCAACUUUAAAUAUAUAUAAAAACAACAUAUACUAAUAAUCUAUAGAUGGCCAAAGCGACCUUCCUUCCGAGCAUGCGACUUUGGUUUAUGUUGUCCAUCUGAUGCUUCACUAUUGACUCCUUCUAGGGGUCGUGUGACAAUUCUUAGGGGGUGGGCUUCUGUGUUGAAAACCCACUCGUCCAACGAGAUAACAGAAGUAGGUGAAAAAAGUAGAUAAAGAUAUUUAAGCGUUUCUGCAAGGAAGAAGCUCUGCAUCAUGUCGUCCUUUACUCCGCUAUUAACCUAGUAAUCAUGGAAAAUAAUUAAUUGGUCAAGCAACUUCUAGCAUAUAAUUUGAUUGGAACAAUAGCCUUUCCACUAAGAGUUACAGUCGUUUCCACUAGAAAGAAAUACACUAUUAAAACAAUCAUAAUGUCUCGUUAAUUCAUAAACAGAAUGAUAAAUGGCAUCAUUGAUCAAGAAAACAUUCAUAAAAAAUGACAGAAUAGCAAAGACAAGCCAUAACCUACACACAUAUCAGAUUUCUAGUAAAGUUUCCACACAAAGUUGGCACUAAAGAACCAGAGGUGAUAAGGCAAGUUUGUUUGCUUCUGUUACUUGAUGCAUGGAAACAACUCAUCGACACAAAGAUGCUAGCCAAAGAUAAGAAAUAGCAAUCUUUAACAUCUUCAGGCAAAACUUCUGAAGAUAUGAUUGAGUGUAGCUACAAAGUUAUUAUUAUAUUAGCUAUUUAGUAACCGACAUAUUUACUAUAUUCAUAAACUCUAUAAUUAUUCAUAUUUAAAGUAAUAUAGUAUUUUAAUUUUAUUAAUUUAUCAUAUAUAUUUCGAUUAAAAAAUAUAUAUAAAGAUUAAUCGGAUUUCAAAAGUUGAAUCGGUGGCCGACCUUGCAUGGGAUUAAUCGAUUAUAUCAAGAAUUUUUAGAAUCCUUAUGUACGGGAUACAAGGUUGUUCACUAACCGAACUGGAUCCAAAUCUACGUAGAUAAACAAAUAAUUUCACCAUAGAUUUCUCAUUUUAUGUGCAUAUAUGUUAUAUCUAAUCAAUUUUUUUAUUCUAUUUCCAAGCCAAAGAAUUAAUAUCACUUUAUAACCUAAAAAAUUAAUCAUAAUGGAAAAGAAUGCUUAAAUAAACAUAUUUUCAUAAUUACUUGGCCUAAUAUUAAAUUUCAGUGGGUAACCCGCAAACAUUUCUACUCACGUACUGUUAAGUGUCAAGGACAACAGAGCAUCCUCUGCAUGCAAAAAUGAUGUCCAUUGCCCGGGGAUGUCCCAAAAAUUUGUUUGAUUGCUGCUAUAUUUUUGGUGGGGACGACUAGAAUGGAAACAAGGUGCCAUAAAAACAACGGAAAAUGUUAAAUCUAGAGCAGCAAUUUUAGUUCCAGAGCAAUAUUCAAUUCUAAGCCCCCCUUGCAUUACACAAUUCUUGCAUUUUCAAUACAAAUGAUGCCAAGCAUCGUCUAGCUUUAUUCACUGAGCACAAGACGCUGACACUGGCACAAUGAAAAUGUCACUAUCCAUGCUAAUAAACUGAAAUCAGUAAAAAGACUAAGAUUAUACAUAUAUAUAUAUAUUCUUCAUGUUCCAAGGCUCAGGGACUCCUUGAACACAUAGCAGCCGCAAUGCAGGGUGUAAAAUCCAAUGAUCCUACAAACUCGUAUUAACUGAGCAAUAUGUAUCUACGAGUGAAACAAUAGGUUGCGUUGAGUAAGCAUAAAUUGUUCACCAGAUCUAUCAAUCUAUCAAACCACCUCUACCCCCUAUAUGUGAUUAAAGCCCAAAAAUUUAACCAACUUUAAAUAUAUAUAAAAACAACAUAUACUAAUAAUCUAUAGAUGGCCAAAGCGACCUUCCUUCCGAGCAUGCGACUUUGGUUUAUGUUGUCCAUCUGAUGCUUCACUAUUGACUCCUUCUAGGGGUCGUGUGACAAUUCUUAGGGGGUGGGCUUCUGUGUUGAAAACCCACUCGUCCAACGAGAUAACAGAAGUAGGUGAAAAAAGUAGAUAAAGAUAUUUAAGCGUUUCUGCAAGGAAGAAGCUCUGCAUCAUGUCGUCCUUUACUCCGCUAUUAAC